GUUUUAUUGCUGGUUUCAAUUGUCUGGAUCGAGCCUUUCCUCCUCUUGAGGCUGGGCAGGGCUGCUCAAACAGCUCCCUGUGCUCUCACCCCCGUGCCUCAUCGUGCUGGGUUUGGGCAUUUCCCCUUUGGAAACGAAUCCUCUGCAGCCUCUCUGAGGGCUGUGCACAACCUGAAGUAAUUGAAUUUGCCUUGGGUUGAACUCUUCUGGCACUCUCUAAAAAUAAACAUUCGAUUUCUUCUCCUUCCCGUGGAGCUGCCUCUGCAGGGAGCAGAACCAAACAAACUGGUGAAAAAUUAAAGAGGGAAACCCAGCAGAAGGGAUACGAGAUGGCAACAGCACAGCCCCGAGACUGUCAGGAGCCUAAACCCACAGCAGCCAGUGGCAAAUAAAUCCAGGGGAUGGCCUUGGGCACCUUUUGCGACAGUCGCGCUUUACAGCGCCUUUUACGACAGUCGAGCUUUACGGCGCCUUUUGCGACAGUCGCGCUUUACGGCACUUUUUACGACAGUAGCGCUUUACGGCACCUUUUACGACAGCUGCGCUUUACGGCCGUCUUUACGACAGUCUUAUGACAGUCGCGCUUUACGGCACCUUUUACGGCGCCUUUUACGGCACCUUUUACGACACAUGGCGGCGCCCAUGCCGACACGUGGUGUCCGGCAAUAUGGCGGCGCCCAUGCCGACACGUGGUUUCCGGCAAGAUGGCGGCCCCCAUGACCGGAUUUUUUUCUCGAUUUUUGCCGGGAUUUUUGCGCUUUCCGCGGGUCCCCGG
RNAcentral lists this long non-coding RNA (775 nucleotides) under Zonotrichia albicollis (white-throated sparrow). RNAcentral's name for it is "lncRNA (ENSZALG00000010417.1)". The record is from RNAcentral. Lineage: Eukaryota; Metazoa; Chordata; Aves; Passeriformes; Passerellidae.